This is a long non-coding RNA of Juglans microcarpa x Juglans regia, 448 nucleotides long. RefSeq lists it as uncharacterized. Lineage: Eukaryota; Viridiplantae; Streptophyta; Magnoliopsida; Fagales; Juglandaceae. The transcript has 3 exons. The record is from RefSeq and is a predicted model, not a curated record.
GGGAAUUCUACUCGCAAGUUUGCUCUGGAUAGCGAGCCCGCCACAGACUUUGAAACACUAUAUGCACUUGUGGAAUGUACUCCUGAUUUGGACCCCAAUCAAUGCACCAUCUGCCUGAAGGGACUCGUGCAAGAAAUUCCACGAUGCUGUUAUGGGAAGCGUGGAGGGAGAUACGUAGCACCCAGUUGUGAUUUAAGAUUCGAGACUACCCCUUUCUAUGACUUGAACGUUGAGGAAUCAUCGCCACUGCCACCACCACAGUUGCUUCCCCCUGCAGAAGGAAACGGAAGUAACUCAACAAGAAUUGCAAUUCUUAUAGUCCUGCCGGUUGUCGCUUCUUUUGUUCUAAUCAUAUGCAUUUGCAUCAUCUAUACAAGACUAGUGAAGAAAUCAAGGGAGCAACUUCAAAAUGAACCCAUAUAUGAAAUUAGUAGUGCUGAAGAAAGGC